CAAUAGCGUAUAUUAAAGUUGUUGCAGUUAAAAAGCUCGUAGUUGGAUUUCUGCUGAGGACGAUCGGUCCGCCCACUGGGUGAGUAUCUGGCUCGGCCUUGGCAUCUUCUUGGAGAACGUUGCUGCACUUGACUGUGUGGCGCGGUAUCCAGGACUUUUACUUUGAGGAAAUUAGAGUGUUUCAAGCAGGCGCACGCCUUGAAUACAUUAGCAUGGAAUAAUGAGAUAGGACCUUGGUUCUAUUUUGUUGGUUUCUAGAGCUGAGGUAAUGAUUAAUAGGGAUAGUUGGGGGCAUUCGUAUUUAACUGUCAGAGGUGAAAUUCUUGGAUUUGUUGAAGACGGACUACUGCGAAAGCAUUUGCCAAGGAUGUUUUCAUUGA
Molecule: ribosomal RNA, 380 nt
Filed under: uncultured eukaryote
Lineage: Eukaryota
Description: partial 18S ribosomal RNA
Rfam family: Eukaryotic small subunit ribosomal RNA
Source: RNAcentral